Molecule: long non-coding RNA, 1860 nt
Organism: Apis laboriosa (Himalayan honeybee)
Lineage: Eukaryota; Metazoa; Arthropoda; Insecta; Hymenoptera; Apidae
Exons: 2
Source: RefSeq, a predicted model, not a curated record
AAUAUAUCAGUCCUAUUAUUAUUAUUAUUAUUAUUAUUAUUAUUAUUAUAUAUUUAAACAAUUAAAAAUUAAUGAAAUUAAUAUAUAAUUGAUAAAAAAUGAGAGAUUGUGCACUCUCGAAUGGUGGGAAAAAGAAAGAAAAAAUAAAUUAAAUCUCGUUAGGAAUUUAAUAUUGCGAAUGCGCUGGUAUUUGAACCCCUUUCCACACAACUAAUGUCUGUUGUAAAAUUUCUAUCACUGAAAUUUCAAUUGGAGAAAUACAAUAAUUAGUGAUCGUAAUGAUUUGGAUAAAAAAGGAAUGGUGAAAGAAACAGGAAACUAAUUAGUACUUAAGUCAAUCCAGUUAAUGAGUAAGAUUUUCAAAUAUUUCUUUAGAAUAUUCAUAUAAAAUAAACUCAUAAUGUUCUUUCUAAAAAAAAAAAAGAAAAAAAAAAAUAUAGAAAGGGAGAGAAAAACACUUCAGAUACAAAAGGAUUUAAAAUCAAUAAAAAUGAAAAUGAGGUUACUUUACGCAGAUAAAAAUUCCCUAGAAAAACUGGUAAUGAAAUAUAAAAAAUAGAGAGAAUUAUUUCGUUAAUAUCGAAAAUGAAAGCAAUAAGAAAGUUUAUCUUUAUAAGAGAAAGAACAAUUUGAGUUUUUCAGUGUACAUAAAUCAAAAUUCUAAUUUUUAACUUAACAUGUUAAGUAGUAAAUUAUAAUGUCUAAUGGAUCAAAGAUUGUGCGAAAUGGUUAUAAUCCCGAAAUCCAAUAGUGCUAAUAAUGGCUGUGAUAUGGAAUAAGAAAAAAAUUAAUGAGAGAAAUGAACGAAAAAAAGUGAAGUAUCCAGGAUAUAUAACGGAUAAUAUGCUCUUUUUUUUCGCUUUUUUGCUGUUUUCUUCUUUCUUAUCUUCUUCUUGCAACAAUAAAAUUUUGUUUAAUUCUUAUCUUAAAAGCUUGAAAAAGAUUUUUACAGUUGACAUCAGAGCGAUAAAAUUGGGGAGACAGAGAAUAAAUUCUCGGUUGAAAAUGCCUGCGACAUUCCCAAUAAUAUAUUCAUCGUAUUUUUCUCUUUCUUCUUUAGAAAUCAAUAUUUAAAAGAAAAAAAAAGUUUUCAAAAGACACAUUCUAUGAUCGAUAUUUUACUGUAAUAAAUCGAUCUCAUUUUAGCGAGAAAUCUGAUUCUAGCAUUUAAAAUAAAUAAAUAAUUGACAAGUUGCAGAGUGAACCGGAAAUAACAUUAUCUAUUCAAUAAGAAGAUGAUUCAUUAUAUUGAAACCAAUCAUAUAAUUACCGAAUAUAAUUUUUUAUUUAUAAAUAUUAUAUUUAUAAUAUUUAUAAAAUUUUUUUGAAGGAAAAAAAAAUGCGGUUCGUAACAUAACCUAAUUAAGCGUUUCUUAUUAUUUCCUGUUUACUCUGUGUAUUAAUAAAGAAACACGUAUACAUACUAUAUAAUAAAAUAUAUUAUAUUGAUAUAGUAGAAAAUUAUGAUUAUGUACAUGUUGUAUGGAUAAGCUAAAUAACAAUUGUACGAACAUUACCAUUUAAACGUGUUCAAUGCGUGUAAUACGGAAUGUGUGAAGUUAUAUUGAGAAACUGGCCUAAUAAUACACAUGACUUUUGUGCUGAUGAUUUCAUUUAUUCAUGGUUCCAAUAUCAUCAUAUCCAAAAAAAAGAGAAAAUCAUACGAAAAUCAAUAAGGGAACCAUCGUCUUCAUCAGGACAAAAUAACAUCAGGAACAAAAUAUAUUUGUUCAAAACUUCUAUCAAAUACGUCCCUAUAUAAGUAUCUCAUACCUUUCUUAUCCUUGUUGCUAUAGGGAUCUGAGUGAUUCUGUAGACAGUCAUUAAAUUUGAUUAAAAUAAUUAGAAAUCAAUAAUCAA